GUGGGGAAUCUUGCGCAAUGGGCGAAAGCCUGACGCAGCCAUGCCGCGUGAAUGAUGAAGGUCUUAGGAUUGUAAAAUUCUUUCACCGGGGACGAUAAUGACGGUACCCGGAGAAGAAGCUCCGGCUAACUUCGUGCCAGCAGCCGCGGUAAUACGAAGGGGGCUAGCGUUGCUCGGAAUUACUGGGCGUAAAGGGCGCGUAGGCGGACAGCUUAGUCAGAGGUGAAAGCCCAGGGCUCAACCUUGGAAUUGCCUUUGAUACUGGCUGUCUUGAGUUUGGGAGAGGUGAGUGGAACUACGAGUGUAGAGGUGAAAUUCGUAGAUAUUCGGAAGAACACCAGUUGCGAAGGCGACUCACUGGCCCAAUACUGACGCUGAGGCGCGAAAGCGUGGGGAGCAAACAGGAUUAGAAACCCGUGUAGUCC
Molecule: ribosomal RNA, 425 nt
Filed under: uncultured bacterium
Lineage: Bacteria
Description: partial 16S ribosomal RNA
Rfam family: Bacterial small subunit ribosomal RNA
Source: RNAcentral